UUGGAUGCUGGCACAUGACUCACUUCCGGAGCGCGGAUUUUAGAACAGGAAAGGAGGUUUCCGCCCCGGGCGCCGGAAGUGAGGCAAGCGGGAGGAGCCGGCGGCUCCUCGGCGCCCGGGACCGGCCUGGCCGGGAGUAGAGGUUCGGCGGCCUGGGAGAUAGGGAAGACGCGGCCCAGCCGGCGGGCAGUGGGGUGUACGGGCGAGCUGGCAAGUGGGACGGGGGCGUCCACACAGGCCGGGGGCUAUGGCGGUGGGGAGUGCGUGGUCCGUGGACCUUGGACCACCGAGAUGUGGAAGCCCCAGUAAGGCACUUGGCGGCUCCGAGCCCCCGCUUCCUUUUCUGUAAAGUGGGAUGUGACUCAUCUCACACGAGUUAUUAAUAUCACCGUUUGCUAGUUACCCGACGCAGAAUCACCCCGCAGUCCCACGAGGUAGCGCUCUGUACACUGUACAAACGAGGAAGCGUGGCUCCGAGAGGCGAGUGGACUCCCAAGUGGUGCUUUUGCCAGAGGAGUGGGUUUCGUGGACCUUGAGCUCGAGGUUGGGGUUUGCAAUCUGCCCCUGCCACGUAACGAUGGCGAGGCGGAGGGCAGGUCGCUCCCGGCCUUGGUGUUUCCAUUAGGGAAGUGACACUAACGAUACCAUCUUCUAGAGCUGCAGUCACGGUUAAAUUCGAUCAGCGUUUCCCAAACUCUUAGUCUCAAGACCACCUUAUUCUCUUUAAAAAUGAGAGCCUCAAAAUGUUUGCUAGUGUGGGUUAUAUCUAUCAAUAUUCACCGUAUUAUAAAUGUGAAAUUUAGAAGAAUACUUUUCGUCUUAAAAAUAAACAUUCUUAAAAACCUGUAUCUCCCAAAAAUACAGAGAAGAGUGGGAAUUGUUUUACAUUUUUUUAAAUCUCCUUAAAGUUUUAAAGAUUCAUAGAACAUAGCUGGAUUCUCACAUCUGCUUCUGCAUGCACUGUUGCAAUAUACUGCUUUGAAGUAUAUGAGGAAAAUCCAGCCUCAGAUACAUGGUCCGACAAGGAAAGAGCUACAAACCAACCUCCGAACAGCUUAGAGCACCAGCAGACACCUGGCAAGGCCUUGGAAACUGAUGAAAUGAAGCCGAUGCACUGGUGGACCAUGCCCACCCCAUCCCCAACUUGGUACACCACUGGCUACAGGGAAAGAGAGAGGUGCUUUGAAAGAAUUAUGGGGGAGUAACAACGUGGAGAAGAGUGGACCCAUCUGCAGUGGUUGGAGGAAAAGAAGAAAA
This is a long non-coding RNA of Acinonyx jubatus (cheetah), 1257 nucleotides long. RefSeq lists it as uncharacterized. Lineage: Eukaryota; Metazoa; Chordata; Mammalia; Carnivora; Felidae. The transcript has 2 exons. The record is from RefSeq and is a predicted model, not a curated record.